CCAUGCGAGUCAUUGUAGCAAUACAAGGCAGACGGCUCAGUAACGCGUAGUCAAUCUACCCUAUGGACGGGAAUAACCUCGGGAAACUGAGAAUAAUGCCCGAUAGAACAUUAUGCCUGGAAUGGUUUAUGUUUCAAAUGAUUUAUCGCCAUAGGAUGGGACUGCGGCCUAUCAGUUUGUUGGUGAGGUAAUGGCCCACCAAGACUAUUACAGGUACGGGCUCUGAGAGGAGUAGCCCGGAGAUGGGUACUGAGACACGGACCCAGGCCCUAUGGGGCGCAGCAGGCGAGAAAACUUUGCAAUGUGCGAAAGCACGACAAGGUUAAUCCGAGUGGUUUCUGCUAAAGAAACCUUUUGUCAGUCCUAGAAACACUAACGAAUAAGGGGUGGGCAAGUUCUGGUGUCAGCCGCCGCGGUAAAACCAGCACCUCAAGUGGUCAGGAUGAUUAUUGGGCCUAAAGCAUCCGUAGCUCGUUUUGUAAGUUUUCGGUUAAAUCCAUGCGCUUAACGUAUGGGCUGCCGGGAAUACUGCAUAACUAGGAAGUGGGAGAGGUAGACGGUACUCGGGAGGAAGGGGUAAAAUCCUUUGAUCUCUUGAUGACCACCUGUGGCGAAGGCGGUCUACCAGAACACGUUCGACGGUGAGGGAUGAAAGCUGGGGGAGCAAACCGGAUUAGAUACCCGGGUAGUCCCAGCUGUAAACUAUGCAAACUCGGUGAUGCAUUGGCUUAUGGCCAAUGCAGUGCUGCAGGGAAGCCGUUAAGUUUGCCGCCUGGGAAGUACGUACGCAAGUAUGAAACUUAAAGGAAUUGGCGGGGGAGCA
RNAcentral lists this ribosomal RNA (823 nucleotides) under uncultured archaeon. RNAcentral's name for it is "bacterial SSU rRNA". It matches the Rfam family "Archaeal small subunit ribosomal RNA", at positions 49 to 878 of the family's 1478-position model. The record is from RNAcentral.